GAUGAACGCUGGCGGCGUGCUUAACACAUGCAAGUCGAACGAAGCAUUUAGAACAGAUUAUUUCGGUAUGAAGUUCUUUAUGACUGAGUGGCGGACGGGGAAGUAACGCGUGGGUAACCUGCCUUGUACUGGGGGAUAGCAGCUGGAAACGGCUGGUAAUACCGCAUAAGCGCAAGGUGCUGCCUGGCACCGUGUGAAAAACUCCGGUGGUAAAAGAUGGACCCGCGUCUGAUUAGCUAGUUGGUGAGAUAACAGCCCACCAAGGCGACGAUCAGUAGCCGACCUGAGAGGGUGACCGGCCACAUUGGGACUGAGACACGGCCCAGACUCCUACGGGAGGCAGCAGUGGGGAAUAUUGCACAAUGGAGGAAGCUCUGAUGCAGCGACGCCGCGUGAGUGAAGAAGUAAUUCGUUAUGUAAAGCUCUAUCAGCAGGGAAGAUAGUGACGGUACCUGACUAAGAAGCUCCGGCUAAAUACGUGCCAGCAGCCGCCGUAA
RNAcentral lists this ribosomal RNA (497 nucleotides) under uncultured bacterium. RNAcentral describes it as "partial 16S ribosomal RNA". It matches the Rfam family "Bacterial small subunit ribosomal RNA", at positions 28 to 523 of the family's 1533-position model. The record is from RNAcentral.